Molecule: ribosomal RNA, 468 nt
Filed under: uncultured bacterium
Lineage: Bacteria
Description: partial 16S ribosomal RNA
Rfam family: Bacterial small subunit ribosomal RNA
Source: RNAcentral
GACGAACGCUGGCGGCGUGCUUAACACAUGCAAGUCGAACGGAAAGGCCCUGCUCUUGUGGGGUGCUCGAGUGGCGAACGGGUGAGUAACACGUGAGUAACCUGCCCUUGACUUUGGGAUAACUUCAGGAAACUGGGGCUAAUAUCCGAGAGGAGCUCCUGCUGCAUGGGGGUGGUUGGAAAGUUUCGGCGGUUGGGGAUGGACUCGCGGCUUAUCAGCUUGUUGGUGGGGUGGUGGCUUACCAAGGCUUUGACGGGUAGCCGGCCUGAGAGGGUGACCGGCCACAUUGGGACUGAGAUACGGCCCAGACUCCUACGGGAGGCAGCAGUGGGGAAUAUUGCACAAUGAGCGGAAGCCUGGUGCAGCAACGCCGCGUGCGGGAUGACGGCCUUCGGGUUGUAAACCGCUUUCGCCUGUGACGAAGCGUGAGUGACGGUAAUGGGUAAAGAAGCACCGGCUAACUACGUG